CCGAGUCGGGACACACCCUGC
RNAcentral lists this unclassified non-coding RNA (21 nucleotides) under Chlamydomonas reinhardtii. RNAcentral describes it as "small RNA Cre_1089". The record is from RNAcentral. Lineage: Eukaryota; Viridiplantae; Chlorophyta; Chlorophyceae; Chlamydomonadales; Chlamydomonadaceae.